Long non-coding RNA from Ostrea edulis (European flat oyster), 300 nucleotides. RefSeq lists it as uncharacterized. NCBI's taxonomy places the organism in Eukaryota, Metazoa, Mollusca, Bivalvia, Ostreida, Ostreidae. The record is from RefSeq and is a predicted model, not a curated record. The transcript has 2 exons.
UUCUCCCAGUAACUUUCAUUUUAUCCAAAUAACCCUGGAUGCCAUUUACCUCAAAACUGCAAAGGUUAAGCAAGCAUGCGUACAGUAUGAACAUCUAACGUUGCUUUGUUACACAUUCAUGAUCUGGAUACGAAUGCUUUUGUAUUUUUAGACAAGAUUACACAGACACAUGGGAGGAUGGACAGACUGACAGCGUGAUUCCUGUAACUACACCUGUACUUCGAUGAGCGGAUGCAUCACAUCUACAUCGUUUUCCAUAACUAAAACAGGAAUUCAUUUUGACUCAUCAGUCUUGGAUAA